Molecule: long non-coding RNA, 452 nt
Organism: Papaver somniferum (opium poppy)
Lineage: Eukaryota; Viridiplantae; Streptophyta; Magnoliopsida; Ranunculales; Papaveraceae
Exons: 4
Source: RefSeq, a predicted model, not a curated record
UUAGGGAUUUGAUUUAUAAUUAGGGUUUUGAUUUCUAAUUAGGAUGCCGAUUUCUAACAAGGGUUUUGAUUUCUUCCUCGGGGUUAGGUUUUCAGAAUACAUGACUUCAUCACUGAAAUUCGAUGGCACCAAAGAAGGAGAAAGCUCAACGAAUCUGAAGCACCCAAUUUUCUGCAAUUUGGUUAGGUGGCUGCGAGAUCGGGAUGGGGAUGUAGUUGGAGAAGAGUCGGUUGCAACACCUAACAAAAUCAUUAAGCUGUUGCAUUAGGAGCCGUGUUAGGUGUUUAUGAAGACAAUAGGUUUAAGUCAGAUUCAAAGAAGCCAUUGCUCAAGUCCGUAGAUAUUGUUGGUCUUGGUGUUGGACCUGAACUUGAAAACAAGCUCAAAUAUGCUAGUGAUGUUUGCUCAGGGGUUAUUUUUGGGCGAGAACUAGUGAAUGCACCAGCGAAUGU